Molecule: non-coding RNA, 3232 nt
Organism: Oncorhynchus mykiss (rainbow trout)
Lineage: Eukaryota; Metazoa; Chordata; Actinopteri; Salmoniformes; Salmonidae
Source: RefSeq, a predicted model, not a curated record
UUCUGUUGACAAUGAACUCUGAUUUUUAAGCUGAGGGGAUGAUUGUGUCCGAAGGACAGGAAAUACACAGUGUAAGGACUGACAUCACUGGAGCAAGGAGAGCAGGGUUCAACAUAAUGUAAACUACGACACCAUGCCCAUGGUGAGAGGUUUGGCUACAGAGAGGUUGUUUUAAAAGGAGAUCCUAAGAAGUUGAAUCUCCAUGGGGUAAGAAUAGUAUAUCUUCCGUUUGUUAUUGAUUGUGAAUAGGUAUGAUGAGGUUUGUCUAAAUCUUAAUAGAGGGACAUAAUCAAACAUAUCUGGUGCCACCUCAACCUCGACACCUCUCUUCUCUCACCCUUUUUUCUCUCUCGCUCUCUCUCUCUCUUUCUCUCGCUCUCUGCCUCAACCUAUCCUUUUUUCUGUCUCCUCUUUCUUCCCAUGCGCCACUCUCUGCCCCUCAUUCUCUUGCUCUCUCUCUCUCUCUUGCUUUCUAAACCUGUCCUAUCCUGUCUCUUAUCUCCUCUGCCCGUGUCACUCUCACAGCAGACGUGUGCUGUCUGCCUGGAAGACUUCAAAGUCAAAGACGAUCUGGGUGUGUUGCCAUGCCAACAUGCCUUUCACAGGAAGUGUCUGGUGAAAUGGCUGGAGGUGCGCUGUGUGUGCCCCAUGUGUAACAAACCUAUCGCAGGACCCCCAGAAAAGCGCCACAGCAUAGGAACACUACUGGACGAACUGGUGUAACCAUAGCAUCCAGCACGGAGGGGGCUCUGCAAGCCAAUGUAAUCUAGCUCUAACAGGAAGAGAACACUGUUAUCUGGUGUAACCUAGCAACCAACAGAAAGAGGACGCUGUUAUCUGGUGUAUCCUAGAAACCAUCCACAGAUUACUGUGAAAUGGUGUAACCUAGCUACCACCUGGAGAGGACUAUAAGAACUGCUGUUACCUAGCAACCAACACAGAGCUGCAGACAGGAGUCUACACCACACUCUGUCUAAUCUCCUUCCCAGACACUUCCGCCUUAAUGCACGAAGAGUCUGUUGGACCAAAGCGUCAAACUUGGCUUUUGUUAGCAAAUAGAAAGGCCAGGAGAAACUCCCAGCGCAUAGGCAUUGGCUUAAUCUACCAACCAAUCAUCUCCAACAGCACCUUCCCCCUAACCCUCUCUCGUACAUGUCUUCCAUACGUGUCUUGCCUCCAUUUGGAGUCACGCCUCGCAGUCGUGUGAUUCGCUCAAAUUAAAUGAUGACAAAUACUUUACUCAGUAUGGUCACUGUAGAAUUCUAUGGUCACUCCCACACCCACUAAAGCCAACUUUGAAUCAUUGGUAUCCCAGGCUUAUUUGCGCUGUGCGCAAUAGCAUGGGGACGAGGUUACACUCUGUCUGACAGAAUAUCUCCAUACCCACAUGUCACUCUUUCUUUCUUUCUUUCUUUCUCUUUGUCUCUGACUGUCUAACUCUUCCUCUGUCUCUCUUUCCCCUUUCCUCUCACUCACCCUCUCUCUGCUCUUGACUUUCUGCCACUCUCUGUCUUUAUUUCUCCCUCUCUUCUGAUGUCUCUAUGCUCUUUCUCAACCUUGUCUCUUUCUCUCCCAUACUGCCUCAGAGUUGCACGCUAGUUCCAAAGUCAGAAAGAGGGGAAACCUCCAGACUCUCCAGUUGGGAGAGUGGAGGAACAGGCCGGCUGACAUGAAGACGAGUGGCACUAUCAGAACCAUGGGGUUGAGAAAAUACACAGUGAUGUUCUAAUAAUGUGCAUCACCCUCUCACAAUUUCUUUUUUUUGGUUUAAUGACUGAAACGUGUUAUUUCUUCAGAAUGUAGACGAUGUUUUGCACUCUAACACUCUGACAGGUUUUUUUGGAAACUUAUUACCAUUCUACACUACCGCAAAUGUAGUUAAAGACUAUUCUCAACAACAUAUUUGUGACGCGCAGGUGGUUUGGUGAACCAUGCUCACAUGUUUUAGAACCACCUGAAGACUUGUUUUAGCUCCCAGCAUGAGCACCUAGGCUUUAGCUCAGUAGUCUGUUGUGGACCUGAGAUAUGCAGACAGCCUGGUUUUGACACCUAGCCAAUCACAUCGAUGGAUUGAGACAUCUAAGUAAUCAAAGGCACUACACCUGCCGUUUUCUUUCGUAUUAGUGGUGUAGUAAAACCUGUGACGUGGCUUUCAUGAAGCAAAGCGUUCUUCAUAUUUCAAUCAAGUUACAGUAGAGUUUAGAGAGUUUCACUGUUUUUGUGUGAUUCUUUCUCAAGAACAACUCAGUCACAUUGUAUACUUUUUGUAUAAUAUGUUUUUACAUUUCUUGACGGUGGCAUUCAAUGGCUCCUUUUCACACAUUUUUGUGGAGUAAUCUGUUUUUUAAAACUGUUUUACCAGACGAACACAGACCAAGUAAACACUGCCUAUAUUGAGCACAAAAGCACAUUAACACUCCGCUAUAGUCUCUGUAUUAAGAAUGGACUGAAUCAUCGCUUUGUUUGAUCACACUUAUGUAAUGUGUGACUGUGCCAAUGAAGUACAGCACUGUGUUGACCAGGGGAUGAAGAAAAUUAUAAACCCGGGUAAUUUGAGUCCUGGAUGCUGAUUGGCUGAAACAGUAGUUCAGCCAUGUGCAUAUCAGACAAUAUGCCACGGGUAUGACGCAAAAAUACUUGUUUACUCUUCUAAUUAUGUUGGUAACCAGUUACUAAUAGCAGUAAAUACCCAAGUCCGUUUGGGAUAUUAGAACAAGGAACACUUUUUUCCCCCCUCUCGGACAUUGCACCCACAUUAGAACAGCAGAAUAUGUACUGCAAAGAAAUGUUGCACUCUGUUCGAAGCUCUCACCUCCUUUUCAUCCACAAAACAAAAACAAUAACAAAGAUGCCAGGGCGGACAGUGGCGCUGUUUCCCUGAUGCGGAUUCCAUCUCUAAAUAUAGCACCCCCUACAGCACCGACAGAGAUUAGCUUUUCCCAACACCAGCCACAUUCCACGUUUUUGGUGUGCAUCAAUAAAUAUGACUUUAACAAAUGGAGGGGUUUCCUCUUCAUCUCAGUUUGUUACUUUUCAAGUUGUUUGUGUCUGGACUAUGUUGUGUGCGUGUGCAUUUGUGUGUGGGAACUGAGCACCACCCUCUGGUAAAACCGAAGAGUAACAUCUGAAGUCUUAUUUCGGUCGGCCACUUGUGGUGACAUGCAGCUCUGCCACUUUCCUAUCCUACAUGUCAUCUCUAAAUCUGAAUAUGUCUUGAUUUGAAAAAAAAAAA